ACCUGACCCGAAGGCAGUCAGUCAAUGAACUGAGCCACCCAGGAGCCCCUAAACAGCAUAUUUUUAAAUUAUAGGGGAGGAGUUAUAAUUUAUAAAUAAAAAGUUAUAUUUUAUAAUUAUAGGAAAAUUAGAAAAGGCUUUUUAGAGCAGGAUUAAAUAAUAACAAAAGCAAAUCCCAUAGUGAAAUAGUCUUAUAUCAAAAUUUAAAUUUUCUGUACAAGUGACAACCAAAAUGCCAUCGACAGCAAACCCCAAAUUGAACUAAGAGGAAACAUAAUUUACAGAAGAAACCAAACCCUAAAGUAAGGGGGAAAUGCUCAAAAUCAUUAGUAAUUACAGCUGAAUAAAACAAAAAUGACCCAUCACUUUGCAUUAUUAGGCUGGCCAAAAAAAGUGUAAACAGUAGGAAGCCGGAUGAUGCUCAGUGUUUGCGGACGCGUGGACACAGGACGGAAGACACAGGACCCAGUGAUGGAGGCUGCCUCAGUCCUGUUCGCAUUUGAACAUCUUUGGCCAAUCCAAGGCCUCUGCACAAGGACCGGAUGUGUGAGAAGAGUCUGCCUGGCAGCCAGAGGACGGUCAUCCUGUUGCCGUGUUACUGAGAGCCUUCCCUGUAGUACAUGGUCUCUGGUGGGCUUUCAGGCUCUGCUGGUACCUGAUUCUCGAUACCAACCUAGAGGCAAUGAGAAGUGAGGGGAAGGUCCUGAGGAGGACAAACAUCAUUGUUCAAGGCAUCCACCUCAGUAGGUGAAUGGAUAAACUGUGGAGCACCCAGUGGGAUACUGUUUGGCGAUAAAAGGACUGAGCUACUGAUUCACACAUCAACAUGAAGAAAUCUGAAAUACAUUUUGCUGCUCUCUUCAAUAAAUGGUGUUGGGAGAAUUGGACUACUAUAUAUGGAAGAAUG
Long non-coding RNA from Lutra lutra (Eurasian river otter), 907 nucleotides. RefSeq lists it as uncharacterized. The transcript has 5 exons. NCBI's taxonomy places the organism in Eukaryota, Metazoa, Chordata, Mammalia, Carnivora, Mustelidae. The record is from RefSeq and is a predicted model, not a curated record.